RNAcentral lists this ribosomal RNA (301 nucleotides) under uncultured bacterium. RNAcentral's name for it is "partial 16S ribosomal RNA". It matches the Rfam family "Bacterial small subunit ribosomal RNA", at positions 509 to 807 of the family's 1533-position model. The record is from RNAcentral.
CAGUAGCCACGGUAAUACGGAGGGGGCUAGCGUUGUUCGGAAUUACUGGGCGUAAAGCGCACGUAGGCGGCUUUGUAAGUUAGAGGUGAAAGCCCGGGGCUCAACCCCGGAAUUGCCUUUAAGACUGCAUCGCUUGAAUCGCGGAGAGGUGAGUGGAAUUCCGAGUGUAGAGGUGAAAUUCGUAGAUAUUCGGAGGAACACCAGUGGCGAAGGCGGCUCACUGGUCCAUUACUGACGCUGAGGUGCGAAAGCGUGGGGAGCAAACAGGAUUAGAUACCCGAGUAGUCCCUGUCUCUUAUAC